Molecule: ribosomal RNA, 492 nt
Filed under: uncultured bacterium
Lineage: Bacteria
Description: partial 16S ribosomal RNA
Rfam family: Bacterial small subunit ribosomal RNA
Source: RNAcentral
AGUGAACGCUGGCGGUAGGCCUAACACAUGCAAGUCGAACGGCAGCACAGUAAGAGCUUGCUCUUACGGGUGGCGAGUGGCGGACGGGUGAGGAAUACAUCGGAAUCUACUUUUUCGUGGGGGAUAACGUAGGGAAACUUACGCUAAUACCGCAUACGACCUACGGGUGAAAGCAGGGGAUCUUCGGACCUUGCGCGAUUGAAUGAGCCGAUGUCGGAUUAGCUAGUUGGCGGGGUAAAGGCCCACCAAGGCGACGAUCCGUAGCUGGUCUGAGAGGAUGAUCAGUCACACUGGAACUGAGACACGGUCCAGACUCCUACGGGAGGCAGCAGUGGGGAAUAUUGGACAAUGGGCGCAAGCCUGAUCCAGCCAUACCGCGUGGGUGAAGAAGGCCUUCGGGUUGUGAAGCCCUUUUGUUGGGAAAGAAAAGCAGCAGGUUAAUACCCCGCUGUUCUGACGGUACCCAAAGAAUAAGCACCGGCUAACUUCGUG